AUUGAACGCUGGCAGCAUGCCUUACACAUGCAAGUCGAACGGUAACGGGUCCUUCGGGAUGCCGACGAGUGGCGAACGGGUGAGUAAUAUAUCGGAACGUGCCUAGUAGUGGGGGAUAACUGCUCGAAAGAGCAGCUAAUACCGCAUACGACCUGAGGGUGAAAGGGGGGGAUCGCAAGACCUCUCGCUAUUGGAGCGGCCGAUAUCAGAUUAGCUAGUUGGUGGGGUAAAGGCCUACCAAGGCAACGAUCUGUAGUUGGUCUGAGAGGACGACCAGCCACACUGGGACUGAGACACGGCCCAGACUCCUACGGGAGGCAGCAGUGGGGAAUUUUGGACAAUGGGCGCAAGCCUGAUCCAGCAAUGCCGCGUGCAGGAAGAAGGCCUUCGGGUUGUAAACUGCUUUUGUCAGGGAAGAAAUCUUCUGGGCUAAUACCCCGGGAGGAUGACGGUACCUGAAGAGUAAGCACCGGCUAACUACGUGCCAGCCGCCGCCGUAA
RNAcentral lists this ribosomal RNA (500 nucleotides) under uncultured bacterium. RNAcentral's name for it is "partial 16S ribosomal RNA". It matches the Rfam family "Bacterial small subunit ribosomal RNA", at positions 30 to 523 of the family's 1533-position model. The record is from RNAcentral.